UUUUUCUUAAUUCAGUUUUCAAACAUCCAGAAUAACUGACUUUUUAAAAAUCACAUGAAACAAACAAACAAAAAAACACAACAAAAGUGAGACCCUUGGACUCUGUGAAGUCCCCUUGCAGUAAAGGAUCUCAGGAUUGGAGAAAGACCCUAACAAGUUUUCAUAGUUUGCCCUAAUAGGCUCUGAGGUGAACUUCUUCCCGAGUUGUAUCUGAAGUUCCUGAUUUUAUCAAAUGUCUGUAGAAGGGAGAUAGCCCUUGGGUCUAUCAGUGCGCUGUGACAUCACAGCGUUUAGCCGGUUUGCAUAAAUCUCAUUUCAAGGAGCUGUGGCUCUGUAACAGGAAGUCUGCCCUUAGCCAGAUCUGCCAUGGGCAGGUGCUAUAAUCAGCAACGCAGAGCCCAGGCCUGCUACCAGUCCUGCAAGGAGAAAGCAAGUGGGCAACAAGUCCCAUGUCAUGGCCUCUACUUCUCCUGGAAGAGUUUCUUUAACAGCUGUGAAUUUCACUUGGUUAAUCCUUCUUGUCCUAUGAAAAGUGGAAGAUUGCUUCUCAUCCUCAAACUACCAGUAGGAGAAAUGAUCUGAGGCACUAUUGACUGAAUCAUCUUGUACUGGGUGUUGGAAUUAUGGGAAGGUGCUCUUGAAGAUCUCAGUUGGGAACUGAGGCACAGACUGACUCCUCUCACCUGGGGAAAGAAGUCUAGCUGAUCAGAGGUUCUCUAGCCAGAAGGCAAGUCUCCUAUUAGGUUAUUUGGGUGCAUCUUGGAUCUUAUUACACGUAGUAAGCCAGGCAAUGGACGAUAUGUUGCACAAAAGGAAUAGUGUAACUGGAUAGUGAACCCAGAAAGCAGAGAGAGAAAUAAUGUGAGAGAGGCUGACAGUUAAAAUUAUUUGGAUUAGAAUCUCCUUUAUUUUGUGUCAUUCUGAGAUCACAGCUUUGAUCCCUUGCACUGUAGUUGAGACGAGAUUAACUUUCUGUAGAUCUGAUAAGCAGGCUUCAGGAAGAAGAAGACAUUGCAGAGGGAGAGACCUCUGGGACUCUGCAGAUUAACUGCAUUUUGUGUUACAUUGUAUGGUUAGUUCCCUGAAAGAAGGACAUGGCAGAGAGUCCCUCAAGAACCAAGGACUGAGCCUGGGGUUCAUGGCUCUGCAUCUGAAUACAAAAAUUCUUUUAUCAAAAUGAAAAUCUUACAAAGAUGCCAUAAUCUUUUUCAGUAGCUAUGCUGGUCCUAGGAACAGGGCUGCCAUGGGCCAUAAAAGAAUUGGGCAUGAUCCUUGAGGAUAAACUGAAGAGCUGUUUAAUCUGCCCUAGCUAUAACAAUAAACCUGUAUUGUUGCAGUGUAAAUCUCA
RNAcentral lists this long non-coding RNA (1348 nucleotides) under Apteryx haastii (Great spotted kiwi). Its description in RNAcentral is "lncRNA (ENSAHAG00000017864.1)". Lineage: Eukaryota; Metazoa; Chordata; Aves; Apterygiformes; Apterygidae. The record is from RNAcentral.